AGGGUUGUGUCUUAGUGGUAGAGUACUUGCCUAGCAAGUGUGAGGCCCUGGGUUCAAUUCUCAGCACCACAU
RNAcentral lists this transfer RNA (72 nucleotides) under Ictidomys tridecemlineatus (thirteen-lined ground squirrel). RNAcentral describes it as "Spermophilus tridecemlineatus (thirteen-lined ground squirrel) tRNA". It matches the Rfam family "tRNA". From Rfam's summary of the family: Transfer RNA (tRNA) molecules are approximately 80 nucleotides in length. Their secondary structure includes four short double-helical elements and three loops (D, anti-codon, and T loops). The record is from Rfam by way of RNAcentral. RNAcentral also lists the same sequence under 1 other name. Lineage: Eukaryota; Metazoa; Chordata; Mammalia; Rodentia; Sciuridae.